Molecule: non-coding RNA, 66 nt
Organism: Podarcis lilfordi (Lilford's wall lizard)
Lineage: Eukaryota; Metazoa; Chordata; Lepidosauria; Squamata; Lacertidae
Source: the annotation of a GenBank genome assembly
GAUAAUAACUCAGUUGGUAGAGCAUGAGGCAUCUCAGGGUUGUGGGUUCGAACCCCACGUUGAGCA